This 1307-nucleotide long non-coding RNA is filed under the name Homo sapiens (human). Its description in RNAcentral is "HSALNT0354714". Lineage: Eukaryota; Metazoa; Chordata; Mammalia; Primates; Hominidae. The record is from RNAcentral.
UCUGUGCUCCUGCUGGCUUUGAAGCAGGAAGAGGCCGGGAGCCAAGGAAUGUAAGGAAUGCAGCUCUAGAAGCUGGAAAAGGCCAGGAAACCAAGCGGAGUGUCCUUUGGAGCCUCUGGACGGUGUGCAGUCGGACAGCUUGGUUUCUGUCUAAUGAAACUCAUUUCAGGCUUCUCACCUCCAGAACUAGCCUGAGAGUGAGGCCUUUGAAUGAUGCCCUGGACAGAGCUUGGAACAUGAAGGUGAAUACUGUUGUGGGGAGAAUGCAUCCCUUUGCCUGGCUCUGAGCCAGGGCCAGCUUUGGAUCCUGCUAGCCCCAUGGAUAUAGAGAGAUAAGCUUGAAAGAUGCCAGCAGGGCCUGCUAAAAGCCUGCAAAAAUGACAAGGAAGAUUACACAGCUGGAAAAAACUGUUUCAACAUUUCUUGUGACAUAAAAAAGCAAAGCCUGAAACAACAAAAAAACCUACACGUAAGAGACGAGAACAUCUGUGAAAAACCAGUGGGUGAAAAUCACAGGAAUCCCGGCUUUAAAUCCAUAUAAAGAAGACCUCCAGCAGCCAGAGUCAUCCAACAGCAAGACAGGCUUCUGGAGAGAGAGUGAGGUCCCAGUUCCUAAAAGUAUACAAGGGCUGCUUACCAGGCACCGUCCGGCACUUCAGGUUUGCCAUCUGCAAAAUCUUCUUUAAUCCUUGUAAUGACCCUGUGACAUAUGGAAAACUAUUAUCCUCAUCUUCCAUGUGAGGAAACUGAAGCUGGGAGGGAAGAAGUCACACCUCCAAGGAACGGGUACUGAGGUUUUAAUGAACUCAUUACUCAUUCCACUGUCAGGUGAAGCCUAAGUCUCCUCCCCUUGAAUGUGAGCUGAACUUAAUGACUUGAUUAUAAUGAAGAGAAUGUGACAGAAGCAGUGGUGUGUGAUGGUGCAGAUCAUGAAAAGUAUUUGACUUUCUCCUUGCUCUCUCUGAAGCACUCACUCUGUGGGGGAGGCCAGCUUUCAUGUCAUGAGGACACUCAAGUAGCCCUCUGGAGAGGCUCUCAUGGUGAGGAACUAAGGCGUUCUACCAAUAACCAUGCAGUGUGCCAUCUUGGAAGCAGAUCUUCCAGCACCAGUCCAACCUUCAGAUGACUGCAGCCCAGGCCAACAUCUUGACUGCAACUUCAAGAAAGACCCCAAGCCAUAACCACUCAGCUAAGCCAUUUCCAAUUCCUGAUUCUCAAAACCUGUAUGAGAUAAUAAAAUUGUUUGUUGUUGUUUUAACCCACUAAGUUUUGAGAAUAACAUACUAUGUAGCAGUAGGUAAUUAACA